RNAcentral lists this ribosomal RNA (468 nucleotides) under uncultured bacterium. RNAcentral describes it as "partial 16S ribosomal RNA". It matches the Rfam family "Bacterial small subunit ribosomal RNA", at positions 28 to 507 of the family's 1533-position model. The record is from RNAcentral.
GACGAACGCUGGCGGCGUGCUUAACACAUGCAAGUCGAACGGAAAGGCCCUGCUUUUGUGGGGUGCUCGAGGGGCGAACGGGUGAGUAACCCGUGAGUAACCUGCCCUUGACUUUGGGAUAACUUCAGGAAACUGGGGCUAAUACCGACUAGGUGCGCCUGCUGCAUGGGGGGGGUUGGAACGUUUCGGCGGGUGGGGAUGGAGUGUGGGGUUAUUAGCUUGUUGGGGGGGUAGUGGCCUAGCAAGGGAUUGGCUGGUGGUCGGCCUGAGAGGGGGACCGGCCUCAUGGGUACUGAGGGACGGCCCAGAGGCCUACGGGAGACAGCAGUGGGGAAUAUUGCACAGUGGGCCGAAGUCUGAUGCAACAACGCCGCGUGCGGAAUGACGGCCUUCGGGUGGGAAACCGCAUUCGCCUAUUACGAAGCUGGAGUGACGUUAAUGGGUAAAGAAGCACCGGCUAACUACGUG